RNAcentral lists this small RNA (2501 nucleotides) under Pan troglodytes (chimpanzee). RNAcentral's name for it is "retained intron". Lineage: Eukaryota; Metazoa; Chordata; Mammalia; Primates; Hominidae. The record is from RNAcentral.
UUUGAUGCUGUCUUGGAGGCCCUGAGCCGGGGUGAACCCGUGGACCUCUCCUGCCUGCCCCCUCCACCCGACCAGCUGCCCCCAGACCCACCGUCACCACCGUCGCAGCCUCCGACCCCCGCUAUGGCGCCCUCCACACCAGAGGUGCCCCCACCCCCGAGGACCCUGCUGGAGGCGCUGGAGCAGCGGAUGGAGCGGUACCAGGUGGCCGCAGCCCAGGCCAAGAGCAAGGGGGACCAGCGGAAAGCUCGAAUGCACGAGCGCAUCGUCAAGCAAUACCAAGAUGCCAUCCGAGCCCACAAGGCUGGCCGAGCGGUGGACGUCGCUGAAUUGCCCGUGCCCCCAGGCUUCCCACCAAUCCAGGGCCUGGAGGCCACCAAGCCCACCCAGCAGAGUCUGGUAGGCGUCCUGGAGACUGCCAUGAAGCUGGCCAACCAGGAAGAAGGCCCAGAGGAUGAAGAGGAUGAGGUGCCUAAGAAGCAGAACAGCCCUGUGGCCCCCACAGCCCAGCCCAAAGCCCCACCCUCAAGAGCUCCCCAGUCGGGAUCAGCCCCAGCAGCCAAAGCGCCCCCCAAAGCCACAUCCACCAGAGCCCAGCAGCAGCUGGCCUUCCUAGAGGGCCGCAAGAAGCAGCUCCUGCAGGCCGCACUGCGAGCCAAGCAGAAAAACGAUGUGGAGGGUGCCAAGAUGCACCUGCGCCAGGCCAAGGGACUGGAGCCUAUGCUGGAGGCCUCGCGCAAUGGGCUGCCUGUGGACAUCACCAAGGUGCCGCCCGCCCCUGUCAACAAGGACGACUUUGCCCUGGUCCAGCGGCCCGGCCCGGGUCUGUCUCAGGAGGCCGCCCGGCGCUAUGGUGAACUCACCAAGCUCAUACGGCAGCAGCAUGAGAUGUGCCUGAACCACUCAAACCAAUUCACUCAGCUGGGCAACAUCACUGAAACCACCAAGUUUGAAAAGUUGGCAGAGGACUGUAAGCGGAGCAUGGACAUUCUGAAGCAAGCCUUCGCCCGGGGUCUCCCCACGCCCACCGCCCGCUUUGAGCAAAGGACCUUCAGCGUCAUCAAGAUCUUCCCUGACCUCAGCAGCAACGACAUGCUCCUCUUCAUCGUGAAGGGCAUCAACUUGCCCACACCCCCAGGUGAGGGGGCUGUAGGCAGGGGUCAGGGUCAUGGGGACCCCCUCUCUGCCCAGCUCUGACCGUUGUUUGCCCACAGGACUGUCCCCUGGCGAUCUGGAUGUCUUUGUUCGGUUUGACUUCCCCUAUCCCAACGUGGAAGAAGCUCAGAAAGACAAGACCAGUGUGAUCAAGAACACAGACUCCCCUGAGUUCAAGGAGCAGUUCAAACUCUGCAUCAACCGCAGCCACCGUGGCUUCCGAAGGGCCAUCCAGACCAAGGGCAUCAAGUUCGAAGUGGUUCACAAGGGGUGAGCUAGAGAGAGCCAUGGCCACUGGGUGGGCUCCAGGGGAGGGGAGCUCCUCUGAACCAACCAUCCUGUCCCCACUACACACACAUGCACACAGGGGGCUGUUCAAGACUGACCGGGUGCUGGGGACAGCCCAGCUGAAGCUGGAUGCACUGGAGACAGCAUGUGAGGUCCGGGAGAUCCUUGAGGUGAGAGGUGGACAUUCAUCCGCAUGCUCCGGUAUGGCCAUGCUACUCGUUAACAUUAUUAAAACACUUCCUGCCUUGAGCCCUCUAUGAGCCUGUCUGUUGACCCAGCCCCUCCCCUCAGAGCCUCAGACCUCCCUACUGCCCAGCCCUAAAUACUUGCAGUACCCCACUCCAUUAUGAUCAACUGGUAUCUCAGCCAUACCAUGGGCUCAUAUUUUAGAAACCACUCUUGGCCAGGCAUGGUGGCUCAUGCCUGUAAUCCCAGCACUUUGGGAGGCUGAGGCGGGCAGAUCACGAGGUCAGGAGAUCGAGACCAUCCUGGCUAACAUGGUGAAACCCUGUUUCUACUAAAAUACAAAAAAAUUAGCCAGGCAUGGUGGUGGGUGCCUGUAGUCCCAGCUACUCGGGAAGCUGAGGCAGGAGAAUGGCAUAAGUAAACCCGGGAGGCGGAGCUUGCAGUGAGCCCAGAUCGCACCACUGCACUCCAGCCUGGACAACAGAGCGAGACUCUGUCUCAGAAAAAAAAAAAGAAACCAGUCUUGUUCUCCCUUGUCCUGGCCCUGGGCCUCUAGUCACUUCCUGCUUCCCACCAACAGUUUCUCCUUACCCCCACCCAGGUCCUGGAUGGUCGCCGGCCCACAGGGGGGCGACUGGAGGUAAUGGUCCGGAUUCGGGAGCCACUGACAGCCCAGCAGUUGGAGACGACGACGGAGAGGUGGCUGGUCAUUGACCCUGUGCCGGCAGCUGUGCCCACACAGGUUGCUGGGCCCAAAGGGAAGGCCCCUCCUGUGCCUGCCCCUGCAAGGGAGUCAGGGAACAGAUCAGCCCGGCCCCUGCAUAGCCUCAGUGUGCUGGCGUUUGACCAAGAGCGUCUGGAGCGGAAGAUCC